GCCUCCGUAGCUCAGUGGUAGAGCAUCGCUCUCAUGAGGCGAGGGUCCCGAGUUCAAAUCUCGGCGGAGGCA
Molecule: transfer RNA, 72 nt
Filed under: Candidatus Woesearchaeota archaeon
Lineage: Archaea; Nanobdellati; Candidatus Woesearchaeota
Description: tRNA-Met
Rfam family: tRNA
About the family: Transfer RNA (tRNA) molecules are approximately 80 nucleotides in length. Their secondary structure includes four short double-helical elements and three loops (D, anti-codon, and T loops). Further hydrogen bonds mediate the characteristic L-shaped molecular structure. tRNAs have two regions of fundamental functional importance: the anti-codon, which is responsible for specific mRNA codon recognition, and the 3' end, to which the tRNAs corresponding amino acid is attached (by aminoacyl-tRNA synthetases). tRNAs cope with the degeneracy of the genetic code in two manners: having more than one tRNA (with a specific anti-codon) for a particular amino acid; and 'wobble' base-pairing, i.e. permitting non-standard base-pairing at the 3rd anti-codon position.
Source: RNAcentral